Molecule: non-coding RNA, 417 nt
Organism: Pelobates cultripes (western spadefoot toad)
Lineage: Eukaryota; Metazoa; Chordata; Amphibia; Anura; Pelobatidae
Source: the annotation of a GenBank genome assembly
CCCAGUCUGAAAUCAAUUGUUUCACAAGCAAAGAAUACUGUGGCAACAUAUUACCAAGGCAUGACUGUAUUUUAAAGAGAUCUAUAUCAUCUCCAGACAUCAAACCUGCCUCAUCCUUCCAACACUUGUAAAAUUUCUUUACAAAAAUCAUAUUACCAAUCUCUUCCUUUGCAUCCUGCUUAAAUGCCAAAGCAGUGAAUAUAGACUGCUUAUUCUUCCAUAAUCCCAACAUUUCAGCUUCCACCUUGUUCCAAAUUUUAGCACAUCUUACUGAAGUACUAAGCUCAUAAUCACCAAUUCAUUUCAAACCAUAUAACUCAUACUCAGCAUCCCAUGUAAUAUUAGUCAUCUCAUAAAACAAUAUCUUUGUAGAAACACAUAAUGGGUACCCAGCAGAUAUGCCAAUACAGAAAUCAC